This is a long non-coding RNA of Oncorhynchus nerka (sockeye salmon), 324 nucleotides long. RefSeq lists it as uncharacterized. Lineage: Eukaryota; Metazoa; Chordata; Actinopteri; Salmoniformes; Salmonidae. The record is from RefSeq and is a predicted model, not a curated record. The transcript is spliced from 3 exons.
UUUGUCGUGGUCAACUAGUGUGAAAUUAUUCACACUCACACGCACUGACCUACCCCAUGGACUGACCUCCAGGUACAUGCAGAAGUACUUAUCCGCCCUAACGUGUGUGUGGUGUGUCAGGUCUACAAGGUUCGAUGCCAAGAUGGAGAGGCGGACAAAUAACAUGAAGGGAAACCAGGAAGAGAGAUGAAGAUGAGGCAUGAAGAAAUCAGAACGAAAUAUGGUCUCAGUGGGUUCAACCCGUACUCCAAAUUCUCUUGAACUGAUAUUUGAACACUGUACUGUAUCAACUGCCUGCCUUCUCUUCACCUCUGACCUUUCAAC